This 247-nucleotide ribosomal RNA is filed under the name uncultured bacterium. RNAcentral's name for it is "partial 16S ribosomal RNA". It matches the Rfam family "Bacterial small subunit ribosomal RNA", at positions 86 to 334 of the family's 1533-position model. The record is from RNAcentral.
AGAUGGCGACCGGCGCGCGGGUGAGUAACACGUAUCCAACCUGCCGAUAACUCGGGGAUAGCCUUUCGAAAGAAAGAUUAAUACCCGAUGGCAUAAUAGAACCGCAUGGUUUGAUUAUUAAAGAAUUUCGGUUAUCGAUGGGGAUGCGUUCCAUUAGGCAGUUGGUGGGGUAACGGCCCACCAAACCUUCGAUGGAUAGGGGUUCUGAGAGGAAGGUCCCCCACAUUGGAACUGAGACACGGUCCAA